AUUGUUUUUCUUUUUGGUAUUUAACAUUAAGCAUUAUUCUCUACAAGUGCCUUAGAUAACCAAAGAAAACACACAAAUCAUACAAUUUGAAUUACUCCAAUAAUAUCACUAUUCCUAAUUUUCCUAAACUCAUAUAAAUCACAUCUCCAAAAGUUCAUCAUAAUCGUUACGAACACAUAAAUCACACCAACUGUAAAUCACCACAAACCACAUUAAUAUAUUAGAGUUCUCCCCACCGCUAACUCGGUGCCAACGGUCUCGAUUCCUUUUUGAGACUCAAGGAGCUAACUACAUAAACAUGAAUAUUUAUAACAAUUUGUUCACCAUAAAACUAAUCCAAACACAACAUAAUUCCUAAAAUUAAAUAUUUCUCACACACUAAACUUUUAAAAUCAAAUAAUCUAUAUUAUUUACUUAAACUAAAUAAAACGAAUAUUGUCCAAAUUUCACAUUCCCAUACUCGACUCUUAAAGCACCGAAAUAUUUGAGUUAAUAAAAUACUAUAAACUUAUUUUUUUUUAAACUCAAUCAAAGAGUAAUUAAAAGAGUAACAUUUUAAACUCUAAUCAUUUUUAAUUUCAAUCUAUCUUUUUGCUCAAACUCUUUAACUUAGUUAAAAGUUGAACUUUUUCACAACUUUAACAACUCUAAAUUUUUCGUAAAAUUUCAACUUCAGUUCAAACUCAUUUAUUUGAAAAUAACUCUUUACGUUACUCAAACACAUCAAAUUUAAUCACUACAUAUAUAAAUCACAUUAAAUUUAUUUUCUACAAAUUCACACAUCAAAUUUCUUUUCCACAAAAUCACAAAUAAUGUUCUAAAUGCAAACUAAAAAUUUGGAAGGAGCUCUUACAUUAACGUUAGCUCUAACACGCGAUUACGGUACCGUAAUUAAUUCCGGUAAAAUAUAAGUUCGUGACUUCGCGUCGAAAAUUAGAUCACUAACACCGCAGCGUGGCGAUGAGCAACUUUCUCUUCUGUCACUUCUCGAAUGGAAGCUUAGAUCUAGUAAAUAAAUGGGN
Molecule: long non-coding RNA, 1022 nt
Filed under: Cicer arietinum (chickpea)
Lineage: Eukaryota; Viridiplantae; Streptophyta; Magnoliopsida; Fabales; Fabaceae
Description: long non-coding RNA (CARI_LNC001323)
Source: RNAcentral